This is a long non-coding RNA of Polyodon spathula (Mississippi paddlefish), 1061 nucleotides long. RefSeq lists it as uncharacterized. The record is from RefSeq and is a predicted model, not a curated record. The transcript is spliced from 4 exons. NCBI's taxonomy places the organism in Eukaryota, Metazoa, Chordata, Actinopteri, Acipenseriformes, Polyodontidae.
AAAAUGGGUAAGGAUAACAUACCUGUAUUUUGAACAUAUGUAACUCCCCUCUUCUCUUCUGGAGGUUUGAAGAAUUCCCACAAAUUGCGCCAAAGUCAGUUUACCAAUCGGAGCAUUGCAUUGGAGAGUAGGGUGAAAGGUCAAAGGUGGAUAGAGCUGUUAACGGCCCUCUUCUGUUGUGAUUUUUUUUUACUUUUUUUAUACAUAUUCAUACGCGACCAAAUUAUUGUUUUCCAUGUUAUAAUUACGUAUUUUCCGAACUCACAACAUAUCUGUUUUGUAAAAGAAGAUUAAUAUUUCUGGUUCAACAGAAGUACAACAGCACGGCGCCAUAAGCUCUGUGCAUCGUUGCGCCUUUCUUUUAUUUCCGACGUGAUACUGAGCGAGCAAAGGUGCAAUUCUAGUGUUUCAGUUACAGAACUGAACUGAACUGAAAAGAAAAUAUGACGUGAGUGACGAGUCUGUACGGGGUAUGAUAACAACCAUAGGAAAACGAGGACCACGCAGUGAAAACAUUGUUUUGCCCAGCUAACAAUUGUGAAGCUAAAAGCAGAAGUAGCAGCACUAAGUGCAGAGAAUAGAUGGAACGAGACAUCCUUCGGAAACAGCUUGAAUGCUCUGCGUCCAGAGAUAGAUCUUGGAAGAAGAAUAGAAGGGGUUCUUUUACAGUAAUCAGCUCAGAUGACAUCAGCUCUUCAAGUGAAGAAUCCAGUGUUUCAAGUGAAGAAGAUGAAAGUGAUGGAUCUAGUGAUGUAAAACACAGCAAGAAGUCAAGUAAAUGCAAAAAAGGCAAGAAACAAGCAAAAUCUAAAAAGUAAAUACUGAGGAAAAGGGUGAAAAAUCCAAAACAAAUUUUAGAGAGGUACAAAAAAGUGCUAUAGGCAUACAAGAAAAAAGGUGUCUUGUCGCAUGCUUUAACCACCAUCAAUGUGGAUCGUAACACUAUGAUUGCUACACACCAAUUGCUGAACUGAAGAUUGCAGCAGCAGAAAAGUUCAACACAAUUUGUGAAUUUAAGCCAAAGGAAGAGAAGCUGAUGGACCUCUCAGACAGAUGUGCCA